UACAGAGGUCCCGAGCGUUGUUCGGAUUCAUUGGGCGUAAAGGGUGCGUAGGCGGCGGGGCAAGUCUGAUGUGAAAUCCCGGGGCUCAACCCCGGAACUGCAUUGGAUACUGCCUUGCUUGAGUACUGAAGAGGGAACUGGAAUUUACGGUGUAGCAGUGAAAUGCGUAGAGAUCGUAAGGAAGGCCAGUGGCGAAGGCGAGUUCCUGGACAGUUACUGACGCUGAGGCACGAAGGCCAGGGGAGCAAACGGG
Molecule: ribosomal RNA, 253 nt
Filed under: uncultured bacterium
Lineage: Bacteria
Description: partial 16S ribosomal RNA
Rfam family: Bacterial small subunit ribosomal RNA
Source: RNAcentral